This 233-nucleotide ribosomal RNA is filed under the name uncultured Caryophanales bacterium. RNAcentral describes it as "uncultured Bacillales bacterium partial 16S ribosomal RNA". It matches the Rfam family "Bacterial small subunit ribosomal RNA", at positions 1249 to 1479 of the family's 1533-position model. The record is from RNAcentral. Lineage: Bacteria; Bacillati; Bacillota; Bacilli; Caryophanales.
GCGAAGCCGCGAGGUGGAGCCAAACCCUGAAAACCGUUCGUAGUUCGGAUUGUAGGCUGCAACUCGCCUACAUGAAGCCGGAAUUGCUAGUAAUCGCGGAUCAGCAUGCCGCGGUGAAUCCGUUCCCGGGCCUUGUACACACCGCCCGUCACACCACGAGAAUGGGCAACACCCGAAGUCGGUGGGGUAACCUUUACGGGAGCUAGCCGCCGAAGGUGGGGCCUGUGAUUGGG